RNAcentral lists this ribosomal RNA (301 nucleotides) under uncultured bacterium. RNAcentral's name for it is "partial 16S ribosomal RNA". It matches the Rfam family "Bacterial small subunit ribosomal RNA", at positions 509 to 809 of the family's 1533-position model. The record is from RNAcentral.
CAGCAGCCACGGGAAUACGUAGGGUGCGAGCGUUAAUCGGAAUUACUGGGCGUAAAGCGUGCGCAGGCGGUUAUAUAAGACAGAUGUGAAAUCCCCGGGCUCAACCUGGGACCUGCAUUUGUGACUGUAUAGCUAGAGUACGGUAGAGGGGGAUGGAAUUCCGCGUGUAGCAGUGAAAUGCGUAGAUAUGCGGAGGGACACCGAUGGCGAAGGCAAUCCCCUGGACCUGUACUGACGCUCAUGCACGAAAGCGUGGGGAGCAAACAGGAUUAGAGACCCCCGUAGUCCCUGUCUCUUAUAA